GUGCCUAUACAUGCAAGUCGAGCGAACAGAUGAGAAGCUUGCUUCUCUGAUGUUAGCGGCGGACGGGUGAGUAACACGUGGGUAACCUACCUAUAAGACUGGGAUAACUCCGGGAAACCGGGGCUAAUACCGGAUAAUAUUUUGAACCGCAUGGUUCAAUAGUGAAAGACGGUUUCGGCUGUCACUUAUAGAUGGACCCGCGCCGUAUUAGCUAGUUGGUAAGGUAACGGCUUACCAAGGCGACGAUACGUAGCCGACCUGAGAGGGUGAUCGGCCACACUGGAACUGAGACACGGUCCAGACUCCUACGGGAGGCAGCAGUAGGGAAUCUUCCGCAAUGGGCGAAAGCCUGACGGAGCAACGCCGCGUGAGUGAUGAAGGUCUUCGGAUCGUAAAACUCUGUUGUUAGGGAAGAACAAAUUUGUUAGUAACUGAACAAGUCUUGACGGUACCUAACCAGAAAGCCACGGCUAACUACGUGCCAGCAGCCGCGGUAAUACGUAGGUGGCAAGCGUUAUCCGGAAUUAUUGGGCGUAAAGCGCGCGUAGGCGGUUUCUUAAGUCUGAUGUGAAAGCCCACGGCUCAACCGUGGAGGGUCAUUGGAAACUGGGAAACUUGAGUGCAGAAGAGGAGAGUGGAAUUCCAUGUGUAGCGGUGAAAUGCGCAGAGAUAUGGAGGAACACCAGUGGCGAAGGCGGCUCUCUGGUCUGUAACUGACGCUGAUGUGCGAAAGCGUGGGGAUCAAACAGGAUUAGAUACCCUGGUAGUCCACGCCGUAAACGAUGAGUGCUAAGUGU
RNAcentral lists this ribosomal RNA (797 nucleotides) under Staphylococcus sp. 1035(2011). RNAcentral's name for it is "bacterial SSU rRNA". It matches the Rfam family "Bacterial small subunit ribosomal RNA", at positions 44 to 823 of the family's 1533-position model. The record is from RNAcentral. Lineage: Bacteria; Bacillati; Bacillota; Bacilli; Caryophanales; Staphylococcaceae.